AGCAUGUUAGCUCAGGGGAAGAGCGGUAAUUAUUCACGUGACCUGCAGAAUUAGACCACAAGCUAACGUUUCACAGCCGGGCUCAUAACCCGGAGGUCCCUGGAUCGAAACCAGGACAUGCUA
Molecule: non-coding RNA, 123 nt
Organism: Aspergillus sergii
Lineage: Eukaryota; Fungi; Ascomycota; Eurotiomycetes; Eurotiales; Aspergillaceae
Source: the annotation of a GenBank genome assembly